This 465-nucleotide ribosomal RNA is filed under the name uncultured bacterium. Its description in RNAcentral is "partial 16S ribosomal RNA". It matches the Rfam family "Bacterial small subunit ribosomal RNA", at positions 338 to 795 of the family's 1533-position model. The record is from RNAcentral.
CCUACGGGAGGCAGCAGUGGGGAAUAUUGCGCAAUGGGCGAAAGCCUGACGCAGCGACGCCGCGUGAGGGAUGAAGGUCUUCGGAUCGUAAACCUCUGUCAGCAGGGAAGAACGGUCACUGUGCUAAUCAGCAGUGCAUUGACGGUACCUGCAAAGGAAGCACCGGCUAACUCCGUGCCAGCAGCCGCGGUAAUACGGAGGGUGCGAGCGUUAAUCGGAAUUACUGGGCGUAAAGCGCUCGUAGGCGGUAUGUCAAGUCAAGGGUGAAAUCCCCGCGCUCAACGUGGGAACUGCCUUUGAAACUGGCAAACUGGAGUGUGGUAGAGGAUAGUGGAAUUCCAGGUGUAGGAGUGAAAUCCGUAGAGAUCUGGAGGAACAUCAGUGGCGAAGGCGACUAUCUGGCACAUAACUGACGCUGAGGAGCGAAAGCGUGGGUAGCAAACAGGAUUAGAUACCCCUGUAGUC